This 252-nucleotide ribosomal RNA is filed under the name uncultured bacterium. Its description in RNAcentral is "partial 16S ribosomal RNA". It matches the Rfam family "Bacterial small subunit ribosomal RNA", at positions 524 to 775 of the family's 1533-position model. The record is from RNAcentral.
UACAGAGGGUGCUAGCGUUGUUCGGAAUUAUUGGGCGUAAAGGGCGCGUAGGCGGUUUCGUGUGUCGGGUGUGAAAUCCCACCUCUUAAAGGUGGAAUUGCAUUCGAAGCUACGAAACUGGAGUGUCGGAGAGGAUGGCGGAAUUCCUGGUGUAGAGGUGAAAUUCGUAGAUAUCAGGAGGAACACCGGUGGCGAAGGCGGCCAUCUGGACGACAACUGACGCUGAGGCGCGAAAGCGUGGGGAUCAAACAG